GUAAUACCUCACUGGUCAAGCGGCUCUGGGCCGACAAUACAACGGGGCUCAAGCACAGUACCGAAGCCGUAGAUGGGCAUGCCCUGCGGGGCGUGUCUCUGGUAGAGGAGCGUUCUCUAUGCAGCGAAGUCAGACCGAGAGGACUGGUGGAGCGUAGAGAAGUGACCCUGCCGGCAUAAGUAGCGAUAAGAGAGGUGAGAAUCCUCUCCGCCGAAAGCCUAAGGUUUCCUGAGGAAGGUUCGUCCGCUCAGGGUUAGUCGGGUCCUAACGCGAGGCCGAAAGGCGUAGCGGAUGGACAUCAGGUCAACAUUCCUGAACUACCUGAAAGACGUUAUUACGAUGGGGGGACGCAGGAGGCUAGUCCAGCCUACGAUUGGAAGUGUAGGUUCAGGCAUGUAGGGGGAUCCGCCAGGAAAAUCCGGUGGGUCGUGAAACCCUGAGGUGCCAUGGCGAGGCCGCAAGGCCGCAAAGUGGAUGACGCUACGCUGCCAAGAAAAUCCUCUAAGGAGUCUUUCGGGUACCCGUACCGCAAACCGACACAGGUAGGCGAGGAGAAAAUCCUCAGGCGCGAGUGUGAACCCUCGUAAAGGAACUCGGCAAACUCGCCCCGUAACUUCGGAAGAAGGGGUGCUCCGUUAGCGUGAUACACCGCGCGUGUUGAGCGUGAAGGAGUUGCAGUUAAGAGGCCCAGGCGACUGUUUACUAAAAACACAGGACUCUGCUAAGUCGAAAACGACGUAUAGGGUCUGACGCCUGCCCGGUGCCGGAAGGUUAAAGGGAGGGGUUAGCUUCGGUUCGCCGAAGCGAAGCUCUGAACUGAAGCCCCGGUAAACGGCGGCCGUAACUAUAACGGUCCUAAGGUAGCGAAAUUCCUUGUCGGGUAAGUUCCGACCUGCACGAAUGGCGUAACGAUCUGGGCGCUGUCUCAACGAGGGGCACUGCGAAUUUGUGGUACCGGUGAAGACGCCGGUUGCCCGUGGCAAGACGGAAAGACCCCGUGCACCUUUACUACAACUUAGUAGUGAGUGCUGGCGUGUUAUGCGCAGGAUAGGUGGGAGACUUUGAACCGGGCCUCUUGGGGUCUGGGGAGUCAACGGUGAGAUACCACCCUUAGCACUCUGGCGCCCUAACCUCGUUCUGUUAUCCAGAUCAGGGACAUUGCUAGGCGGGUAGUUUGACUGGGGCGGUCGCCUCCCAAAAUGUAACGGAGGCGCGCGAAGGUUCGCUCAGGCUGUUUGGAAAUCAGCCGGAGAGUGCAAAGGCAUAAGCGAGCUUAACUGCGAGACCUACAAGUCGAGCAGGUGGGAAACCAGGCCUUAGUGAUCCGGUGGUUCCGCAUGGAAGGGCCAUCGCUCAACGGAUAAAAGGUACGCCGGGGAUAACAGGCUUAUCUUGGCCAAGAGUUCACAUCGACGCCAAGGUUUGGCACCUCGAUGUCGGCUCAUCGCAUCCUGGAGCUGGAGCAGGUUCCAAGGGUUCGGCUGUUCGCCGAUUAAAGCGGUACGUGAGCUGGGUUUAGAACGUCGCGAGACAGUUCGGUCCCUAUCUGCCAUGGGCGCAGGA
This 1563-nucleotide ribosomal RNA is filed under the name marine metagenome. RNAcentral's name for it is "bacterial LSU rRNA". It matches the Rfam family "Bacterial large subunit ribosomal RNA", at positions 1134 to 2658 of the family's 2925-position model. The record is from RNAcentral.